AUGUAAGAAUGAAGAAGUACUCCAUCAAGAACUCGGUGUCACAAGUGGACGGUGAAGCAGCAGCUUCCCUGUGGCCAGAAUCGAGUGUUGGGAACCGCUUCUCUGAAGGGUUUAAUGUACGUGAUUAAUCUUGACUCGGCUUAAUACUGCUAGGAAUGUGGCAAUGACCUCAGCUGAACACUGGGAAAGUGAUUAAUGUUACAUGAACGGAGAGAUUUCUUACUCGAGAUCCUGAAUAAACACAGACAUGCUGUAUUCAGUUACAGACCUUUGCUCAACUGAAAAUGGACCAUGGUUGAAAAGAAUAAUGUUUCAGAUGCAAUAAACAGCGUUGGAGGAAGCAUGGCUCUUGUUAAAGAAAAUGCUGUUUCAAGCUAAAGUCUUACUGAACAUAAAAGAUAUAUGAUGUAAUAAACAAAACGAACCAUG
This is a non-coding RNA of Anolis sagrei ordinatus, 429 nucleotides long. NCBI's taxonomy places the organism in Eukaryota, Metazoa, Chordata, Lepidosauria, Squamata, Anolidae. The record is from RefSeq and is a predicted model, not a curated record.